Chryseobacterium sp. MOF25P is the source of this 35-nucleotide non-coding RNA. NCBI's taxonomy places the organism in Bacteria, Pseudomonadati, Bacteroidota, Flavobacteriia, Flavobacteriales, Weeksellaceae. The record is from Rfam.
AAAGCGUGAUCCGAAAAGCUUAAAACGAGUAGGAA